AAAAAAAAAAUAGCAUGCUAUGUUGGAUCAGGCCAUUUGCUGAGCCUGACUAGCUUAGGGAAAGUGCACUUUUCACCCUUAACUCUGCCAUAAGGUUCCAGGCAAAAUGAGUUUGCUCGCAUCUCCCUGUCCCUAACGAGUGGGUUUUCAUAUGUCAAAGAGCCACACGCAUAUUAACGCAAUUGGAAGGAACUGUUCUGAAGAAGAGGCUCAAGAGGAAGUUGCCAUGGAGAUGAGGAGGCUAAACACUACUGUACUUGUGACCUCCGCCAGGAUGAUUUCUCCAAAUGACAGCAGAGGUCGUGGAGGCACACGGGGGAGCUGGUUCUGCCCAUCCCUGCUCUGCAUCCAGCCCCUGGGUGCUAAGUAAGACAUCCAGCUGGGGGCCACAGCUAAGGAGCUGACUCCAACAAUUCCAGUCACUUCUGUAAGAGUUAUUACAGUGUAUCAGAGGGAAAAGAAGGAUGCUUAUGAAUAUCUAAUCCAUAAAACCAUAAUCAGAGGGCCAGCUUUUGGACUUUUAAAUCUGCAAAGCAAAGAGAAGACUACAAAAUAGCAGGUACAGCAUUUCUCUUGGCUGUUUAGCGCUAACCUUUCAAAAGUUGAUACCGCUCACUGAUUCUACUUCAUAGUUAAAGCAAAAGGAGAUAAGUAACUUUCACUGACAGAGAAGCAGAUUUGCCUAACAAAAAAAACAUUCCUUUGUAUAACAGGUUAUCAUAUGUUGUUUACUCAUCCUCUAAGUGUUGUGUUCAUGUGUUUCUCCAUACAUUUAUUAGUGACCUGCUACAUCAUUCCUUCAUUACACUGAUUAUGGGAGAGUAAAUAGGAAACAUCACAAUGUUUGACUGCAGUUUGACUCAUAAAUUCUUUUCCUUGAUUAUUCUUUAUUAUCUCUACACAAAAUGAAAUACAUAUCUUACACAAAUUUGAACAUAAUCAUACAACAAUACAAACGAGUUGUUUGAAAGCUUAGUUGUGUGUAUGAAAAAAGAUCCAACUACAAUCUGCAUUUCAAAAAAUACAAAACUCUGUGGUUUAAACCAGUUAGCUAAGAUAGCUUUAAGGUGGCUGGGUCAGGCAGUGAGUAUAUCACACACAACUGCUACUAAGCGUUUCGUUUUCUUUAAUGGGAUGUGAUGGUUUUUGUUCUUUUCUCUACUUCUUUUUUUAUUAUUAUUUUUUAUUUUUCUUUUUAUAAAACACUUCCACUUUCAUGUUUCAGUGGUUAAUUGCACUUCGGAUUUUAAACAAACAAAAAAAAACAAUAAAAUUUUCAUCCUCCCACUGGUAGGUUUAUAU
RNAcentral lists this long non-coding RNA (1302 nucleotides) under Coturnix japonica (Japanese quail). Its description in RNAcentral is "lncRNA (ENSCJPG00005012020.1)". Lineage: Eukaryota; Metazoa; Chordata; Aves; Galliformes; Phasianidae. The record is from RNAcentral.